GAUGAAGAACGCAGCGAACUGCGAUAAGUAAUGUGAAUUGCAGAAUUCAGUGAAUCAUCGAGUCUUUGAACGCACAUUGCGCCCCCUGGCAUUCCGGGGGGCAUGCCUGUCCGAGCGUCAUUGCUGCCCUUCAAGCCCGGCUUGUGUGUUGGGUCGUCGUCCCCCCCGGGGGACGGGCCCGAAAGGCAGCGGCGGCACCGCGUCCGGUCCUCGAGCGUAUGGGGCUUUGUCACCCGCUCGAUUAGGGCCGGCCGGGCGCCAGCCGGCGUCUCCAACCUUCUAUUUUACCAGGUUGACCUCGGAUCAGGUAGGGAUACCCGCUGAACUUAAGCAUAUCAAUAAGCGGGAGGA
Molecule: unclassified non-coding RNA, 351 nt
Filed under: soil metagenome
Description: partial contains 5.8S ribosomal RNA, internal transcribed spacer 2, and large subunit ribosomal RNA
Rfam family: 5.8S ribosomal RNA (bases 1-120)
Source: RNAcentral